GAUGAAGAACGUAGCGAAAUGCGGUACGUAAUGUGAAUUGCAGAAUUCAGUGAAUCAUCGAAUCUUUGAACGCAUAUUGCGCUCUCUGGUAUUCCGGAGAGCAUGCUUGUUUGAGUAUCAGUAAACACCUCAACUCCCUUUUCUUUUUUGAAAUUGGAGCUGGACUUGAGUGAUCCCAACACUUUCUUCCAAGAAAGUGGCGGGUUGCUUGAAAUGCAGGUGCAGCUGAACUUUUCUCUGAGCUAUAAGCAUAUCUAUUUAGUCUGCCUAAAAAACAGAUUAUUACCUUUGCUGCAGCUAACAUAAAGGAGACUAGUUCUUGUGCUGACUGAUGCAGGAUUCACAGAGACAGCUUCGGCUGACUUUGUAAACUCGAUCUCAAAUCAAGUAAGACUACCCGCUGAACUUAAGCAUAUCAAUAAGCGGAGGA
Molecule: unclassified non-coding RNA, 430 nt
Filed under: soil metagenome
Description: partial contains 5.8S ribosomal RNA, internal transcribed spacer 2, and large subunit ribosomal RNA
Rfam family: 5.8S ribosomal RNA (bases 1-120)
Source: RNAcentral